AACGUCGCGACCCGUCGAGGGCCGGCCCAAGGCCCGGGGGACCGAACGCUCGCGUUCGCGGGGCGGGUCUCCCGUCCCCGGCGCGAAUCCCCGGCGCCCGGCCGGCCGUCAGACGGUACAACGGCGGAGCAGGCUCGCUCGGCAGAGCGUCCGGCCCGGUGUCGGCGUGGUCGCCCGUCGGUGGUCGUGCCGAAAGCACGUCCCCGGCGCCGUGCCGCGUCCGGCCGAAAGACCGGUGCCCACGGACAGUCGUCGGCCCAGUCUCCCGUCAGCGACGCCGCAGAUUGGGGCACUCUCCCGACCCGUCUUGAAACACGGACCAAGGAGUCUAACAUGUGCGCGAGUCAUUGGGUUCGUCAGCGAAACCCAGAGGCGCAGUGAAAGUGAAGGCCGCCGCGAGGCGGCCGAGGGAGGAUGGCCCCGGCCGAGCCCGGGGCUCGCACUCCCGGGGCGUCUCGCCCUCACCGCGAGGAGAGACGCACCCAGAGCGUACACGUUGGGACCCGAAAGAUGGUGAACUAUGCCUGGCCAGGACGAAGUCAGGGGAAACCCUGAUGGAGGUCCGUAGCGAUUCUGACGUGCAAAUCGAUCGUCAGAGCUGGGUAUAGGGGCGAAAGACUAAUCGAACCAUCUAGUAGCUGGUUCCCUCCGAAGUUUCCCUCAGGAUAGCUGGCACUCGGAGGCAAGAGUCUCAUAUGGUAAAGCGAAUGAUUAGAGGCCUUGGGGCCGAAACGACCUCAACCUAUUCUCAAACUUUAAAUGGGUGAGAUCUCCGGCUUGCUCAACGUGAAGCCGGAUGCGGAUCAGAGUGCCAAGUGGGCCACUUUU
This 828-nucleotide ribosomal RNA is filed under the name Gibocercus chaco. Its description in RNAcentral is "eukaryotic LSU rRNA". The stretch from base 319 to 828 matches the Rfam family "Eukaryotic large subunit ribosomal RNA", at positions 665 to 1138 of the family's 3401-position model. The record is from RNAcentral. Lineage: Eukaryota; Metazoa; Arthropoda; Insecta; Embioptera; Archembiidae.